GACGAACGCUGGCGGCAUGCCUAAUACAUGCAAGCCGAGCGAACAGAUGAAGUGCUUGCACUCCUGACGUUAGCGGCGAACGGGUGAGUAACACGUAAGGAAUCUACCUAUAAGCGGGGGAUAACAUUCGGAAACGGGUGCUAAUACCGCAUAAUAUCUUCUUCCGCAUGGAAGAAGAUUGAAAGACGGCUCUGCUGUCACUUAUAGAUGACCUUGCGGUGCAUUAGUUAGUUGGUGGGGUACCGGCCUACCAAGACGAUGAUGCAUAGCCGACGUGGUAUGGUGAUCGGCCACAUUGGGACUGAAACACGGCCCAAACGCGUACGGGAGGCAGCAGUAGGGAAUCUUCCGAAAUGGGCGCAAGCCUGACGGAGCAAUGCCGCGUGAGUGAAGAAGGCCUUCGGGUCGUAAAACUCUGUUAUAAGAGAAGAACAAAUUGUAGAGUAACUGCUACAGUCUUGACGGUAUCUUAUCAGAAAGCCACGGCUAACUACGUGCCAGCCGCCGCCGUAA
Molecule: ribosomal RNA, 513 nt
Filed under: uncultured bacterium
Lineage: Bacteria
Description: partial 16S ribosomal RNA
Rfam family: Bacterial small subunit ribosomal RNA
Source: RNAcentral